This is a long non-coding RNA of Bos taurus (domestic cattle), 707 nucleotides long. NCBI's taxonomy places the organism in Eukaryota, Metazoa, Chordata, Mammalia, Artiodactyla, Bovidae. The record is from Ensembl.
AUGGACUACAGCCCACCAGGCUCCUCCGUCCAUGGGAUUUUCCAGGCAAGAGUACUGAAGUGGCGUGCCAUUGCCUUCUCUGAGUUUGGGAUUAAAUUAGUGAUAACUCCUUAGAAAACCAAGUCAUCAGAAAAGAUAAAUUUAUUGCAUCCUUUCUGUACAAACUGUAUUUCAGGGUAAUAAAAUAAUUGAUAAGGAAGGGAAAGUUCGUAUGGAUAGAAUUUCGGCUAAUAAAUGCAGAAGGAAUACUGGCAUUUUAAAAAAAAUCACCAUUUUAAGCAUCUGACCAGAAUUGAAUGGAAACAUUGGCUCUUGGGUCUCGAGCUUGCUAUUUUUCAUGCUGGAAUAUACACCAUCAGCUCUCCUCCUCCUCAGACAUUUGGACUUGGUCUGGAACUGCACCAUCUGCUGUCCUGGGGCUCCAGCUUACUGACCUCAGAUCUUAGGACUUCUAACCAUCCUGAUCAGAAUGUGGCUGAAGUGACUGUGUAUCUGUUCCGGCUUACACCUGGCAACUUAAGAGUCUGGCCACCUUGCCCGAAGAAUUACAUGGAGACGCACGUGGAGAAGACCAAGGAACCCAGCCAGCAGGGGGAACCAAAGCACCAAAUAUCUGACCCUACAAGAGCCAUUCCAGCCAAUCAGUCCAAUCUAUCCAAGUGACUAAUGUGAAUGAAGCAGGCAUCCUGCAUAUUCCAGUCCAGUAC